GGGUUGUGAGGUUAAGCGACUAAGCGUACACGGUGGAUGCCCUGGCAGUCAGAGGCGAUGAAGGACGUGCUAAUCUGCGAAAAGCGCCGGCGAGGUGAUAUGAACCUUUGACCCGGCGAUGUCCGAAUGGGGAAACCCAGUGCAAUCCGUUGCACUAUCGUUAACUGAAUACAUAGGUUAACGAGGCGAACCGGGGGAACUGAAACAUCUAAGUACCCCGAGGAAAAGAAAUCAACCGAGAUUCCCCCAGUAGCGGCGAGCGAACGGGGAGCAGCCCGGAGUCUGAAUCAGCUUGUGUGUUAGUGGAACGGUCUGGAAAGUCCGACGGUACAGGGUGAUAGUCCCGUACACGAAAGCACACAUGCUGUGAACUCGAAGAGUAGGGCGGGACACGUGGUAUCCUGUCUGAAUAUGGGGGGACCAUCCUCCAAGGCUAAAUACUCCUGACUGACCGAUAGUGAACCAGUACCGUGAGGGAAAGGCGAAAAGAACCCCGGCGAGGGGAGUGAAAAAGAACCUGAAACCGUGUACGUACAAGCAGUGGGAGCCUCUUUAUGGGGUGACUGCGUACCUUUUGUAUAAUGGGUCAGCGACUUAUAUUCUGUAGCAAGGUUAACCGUAUAGGGGAGCCGAAGGGAAACCGAGUCUUAACUGGGCGUUAAGUUGCAGGGUAUAGACCCGAAACCCGGUGAUCUAGCCAUGGGCAGGUUGAAGGUUGGGUAACACUAACUGGAGGACCGAACCGACUAAUGUUGAAAAAUUAGCGGAUGACCUGUGGCUGGGGGUGAAAGGCCAAUCAAACCGGGAGAUAGCUGGUUCUCCCCGAAAGCUAUUUAGGUAGCGCCUCGUGAACUCAUCUUCGGGGGUAGAGCACUGUUUCGGCUAGGGGGCCAUCCCGGCUUACCAACCCGAUGCAAACUACGAAUACCGAAGAAUGUUAUCACGGGAGACACACGGCGGGUGCUAACGUCCGUCGUGAAGAGGGAAACAACCCAGACCGCCAGCUAAGGUCCCAAAGUCAUGGUUAAGUGGGAAACGAUGUGGGAAGGCACAGACAGCCAGGAUGUUGGCUUAGAAGCAGCCAUCAUUUAAAGAAAGCGUAAUAGCUCACUGGUCGAGUCGGCCUGCGCGGAAGAUGUAACGGGGCUAAACCAUGCACCGAAGCUGCGGCAGCGACACUAUGUGUUGUUGGGUAGGGGAGCGUUCUGUAAGCCGUUGAAGGUGUGCUGUGAGGCAUGCUGGAGGUAUCAGAAGUGCGAAUGCUGACAUAAGUAACGAUAAAGCGGGUGAAAAGCCCGCUCGCCGGAAGACCAAGGGUUCCUGUCCAACGUUAAUCGGGGCAGGGUGAGUCGACCCCUAAGGCGAGGCCGAAAGGCGUAGUCGAUGGGAAACAGGUUAAUAUUCCUGUACUUGGUGUUACUGCGAAGGGGGGACGGAGAAGGCUAUGUCAGCCGGGCGACGGUUGUCCCGGUUUAAGCAUGUAGGCGGAGGUUCCAGGUAAAUCCGGUACCUUGUUAACGCUGAGGUGUGAUGACGAGGCACUACGGUGCUGAAGUGAUAAAUGCCCUGCUUCCAGGAAAAGCCUCUAAGCAUCAGGUAACACGAAAUCGUACCCCAAACCGACACAGGUGGUCAGGUAGAGAAUACCAAGGCGCUUGAGAGAACUCGGGUGAAGGAACUAGGCAAAAUGGUGCCGUAACUUCGGGAGAAGGCACGCUGAUAUGUAGGUGAAGCCCCUGCGGGCGGAGCUGAAAUCAGUCGAAGAUACCAGCUGGCUGCAACUGUUUAUUAAAAACACAGCACUGUGCAAACACGAAAGUGGACGUAUACGGUGUGACGCCUGCCCGGUGCCGGAAGGUUAAUUGAUGGGGUUAGCGGCAACGCGAAGCUCUUGAUCGAAGCCCCGGUAAACGGCGGCCGUAACUAUAACGGUCCUAAGGUAGCGAAAUUCCUUGUCGGGUAAGUUCCGACCUGCACGAAUGGCGUAAUGAUGGCCAGGCUGUCUCCACCCGAGACUCAGUGAAAUUGAACUCGCUGUGAAGAUGCAGUGUACCCGCGGCAAGACGGAAAGACCCCGUGAACCUUUACUAUAGCUUGACACUGAACACUGGUCCUUGAUGUGUAGGAUAGGUGGGAGGCUUUGAAGCGUGGACGCCAGUCUGCGUGGAGCCAACCUUGAAAUACCACCCUUUAAUGGCUGGUGUUCUAACGUAGACCCGUAAUCCGGGUUGCGGACAGUGUCUGGUGGGUAGUUUGACUGGGGCGGUCUCCUCCCAAAGAGUAACGGAGGAGCACGAAGGUUGGCUAAUCCUGGUCGGACAUCAGGAGGUUAGUGCAAUGGCAUAAGCCAGCUUGACUGCGAGCGUGACGGCGCGAGCAGGUGCGAAAGCAGGUCAUAGUGAUCCGGUGGUUCUGAAUGGAAGGGCCAUCGCUCAACGGAUAAAAGGUACUCCGGGGAUAACAGGCUGAUACCGCCCAAGAGUUCAUAUCGACGGCGGUGUUUGGCACCUCGAUGUCGGCUCAUCACAUCCUGGGGCUGAAGUAGGUCCCAAGGGUAUGGCUGUUCGCCAUUUAAAGUGGUACGCGAGCUGGGUUUAGAACGUCGUGAGACAGUUCGGUCCCUAUCUGCCGUGGGCGCUGGAGAAUUGAGGGGGGCUGCUCCUAGUACGAGAGGACCGGAGUGGACGCAUCACUGGUGUUCGGGUUGUCAUGCCAAUGGCACUGCCCGGUAGCUAAAUGCGGAAGAGAUAAGUGCUGAAAGCAUCUAAGCACGAAACUUGCCCCGAGAUGAGUUCUCCCUGAGACCUUGAGUCUCCUGAAGGAACGUUGAAGACUACGACGUUGAUAGGUCGGGUGUGUAAGCGCAGCGAUGCGUUGAGCUAACCGAUACUAAUGAACCGUGAGGCUUAACCUUACAACGCCGAAGCUGUU
Molecule: ribosomal RNA, 2931 nt
Filed under: Enterobacter cloacae
Lineage: Bacteria; Pseudomonadati; Pseudomonadota; Gammaproteobacteria; Enterobacterales; Enterobacteriaceae
Also listed under: 1 other name
Description: 23S ribosomal RNA
Rfam family: Bacterial large subunit ribosomal RNA
Source: RNAcentral